CUCAGCUUCUUCCCGACCUUCCAAAAUCCCUUUCGUCCCUUCCCAGCGAGGGCACACCACAGAGACAGGGCCACCUCCAAGUGGCCCAGCAGGGAAACCGGAAUCGUGGGAGGGGGCCCACGGCUGCCUGGUGACGCACUUCCGUUCUGGCCAUCGUCGUCUCUAGCUGCGGAGGAACCAGGGUCUGGGCGAGCUGGAGUUGCGCCCCUCCGAACAGCGAGGCGUCAGUCUCCCUGCCUCCGGGACUCACGCUCGGUCUCGAUCCUGACGUUCUUGCCCUUCCUUGAGAGGGGGGUAAAGACAGAAGGGCCCGUGAUGACUGCUAUAAAUCUGCCAGCUGAACCCCAGCCCCCUUGCAGGAACUGAAUGUUAGGGUUGUCUCAGAAGCAGUAGGAUCAUCUUGUUGCAGGAGUUGGUGACAUUUGAGGAUGUGGCUGUGUACUUCACCCAGAAGGAAUGGGAAAGCCUGGCCCCAGCUCAGAGGGCCCUAUACAGGGACGUGAUGCUGGAGAAUUAUGGAAAUCUGAUCUCCCUGGGUAAGAGCUCUCUUUUGCCUAGAUACAUUAUUUGUCCUUUAGGUUUUCUUGGCUUUCUAGUUAGAGGUUUUAAGGCUGUUGUUAAUAUUCAGGUUAACUAGAAUCUCAAGAAUCAUAUCCCCUAACUUCAAGUAUUUUCUGGACAAGGUCCCUUUGGCUCACAAUUGAGACUUUUUUGCUUCUUCUCUAGUGAAUUUUCCCAGUGAUCUAUUCAAAGUUGAUUUCAAAUGAGCAACAUCCCAAUAUGAACCAAAAUCCUUACCUUCCCUGUCUUCCCAGCUAUCUAGAAGAGAUCCUGACCUCUUUAUUUUGAAUCAAAAAAUCCCUCCUGGACCUUGAUGCACACUUGCCCAGUGUGAGAAUUUUCUGUCUUCAGGAGAGGCCAAAAUCCUAACUGUUCCCCUUAAGCAAAAUCUCAUAUAUCACAACCUACUCCACAGUAUUAGGAGCAUACUCCUAAGCCCUUUUUCCUGGGUCAUCUAGGCUUCCUUGUGGCCUCCCUAUGUUAUUUCCCUUCUUUUCCCAUCUUCCUCCUGCAGAUUCAGGGAUAACUCUGUAUGUCUUGUCCCCUUUUCUUCCCUUCAAGCAGCAUUUCUAUUUCCUAAACCUGCUGUAAUCUCCCAGCUAGAGCAAGGAGGAGAUCCCUGGGUCCUGGAUCCACAGGGACCACUAGACAGAGAGGGCACCUGUUAUACAGGUGAGUGCACAGAGAACCUGCCAUUUCCUCCUCUGCUCUGUCUGUCUUUGUAUUAACAAAGUAUGUGAUCCUUUAACCCAGUAUAAUUUGGAGUAAUGGGAUUGCUGUGUUCCACAUUUCUGUUUUCUACUUUUUGUUUUACAAUCUUAAACCUUUACUUCCUUUAUCCUGUUAACGUCUCUACUCAAUUUCUGUUACUUACUGUGCUUGCCUGUGAAGGUGAAUAGCCUCAUCUUUCCCAUAAUUUAUAUUUCUUUACUGAAUUCCACUCUUCCUUAUACUGUAGUUGAGAUUAUUGAACCAGAACACUGGACUUGAAGUCAAAACACCUGAGUUCAAAUCCUGGCUCUUUUACUGUGACCUUGAAUAAAUUAUUUAAUCUCUCUGUGAUGCA
Long non-coding RNA from Phascolarctos cinereus (koala), 1627 nucleotides. The record is from Ensembl. NCBI's taxonomy places the organism in Eukaryota, Metazoa, Chordata, Mammalia, Diprotodontia, Phascolarctidae.